Long non-coding RNA from Enhydra lutris kenyoni (northern sea otter), 429 nucleotides. RefSeq lists it as uncharacterized. The transcript is spliced from 4 exons. The record is from RefSeq and is a predicted model, not a curated record. Lineage: Eukaryota; Metazoa; Chordata; Mammalia; Carnivora; Mustelidae.
GACCCCGGGACAAGGCAGGGAGAGGCCAGGCCCACUCUUCCCCUCACCGCUCACGUGUGCCUGCCACGGAGCCCGGGGCUGGACUUGAGCAGGCGGGGAGAAGGCGGAGCAGUGACUCAAGGAAGGGCGGGCGGAUACGCCGCAGGGACAUCUCUACAGGGCUCUGUCCCUUCAGGAGCUUCCCGGAAAUGCUUUACGGCUGCAUUUGCAACGCGCAGCGCCUCCAAGUGCUGGUGGGGCAGUCAGAAAGGGUUUGAGAGUUCCUGUUACACAUUCUUACCAACUCUUAAGGUUGUGUAUUUAGCUAUUCUGAGAAACCUUGCCCAUCCCCUGAGGACCUUUAUCUCCCCCUCAGUGGAACGUGCUGUCAGUAGAAUUGGCUUGUGAAGAACUGCAAGGCUCCAUGCCCAAUAUGGGGCUUAAACUCAU